AUUGAACGCUGGCGGCAUGCCUUACACAUGCAAGUCGAACGGCAGCACGGGAGCCUGCUCCUGGUGGCGAGUGGCGAACGGGUGAGUAAUACAUCGGAACGUACCCAGUAGUGGGGGAUAACGCACCGAAAGGUGCGCUAAUACCGCAUACGACCUAAGGGUGAAAGCGGGGGACCGCAAGGCCUCGCGCUAUUGGAGCGGCCGAUGUCUGAUUAGCUAGUUGGCGGGGUAAAGGCCCACCAAGGCGACGAUCAGUAGCUGGUCUGAGAGGGCGAUCAGCCACACUGGGACUGAGACACGGCCCAGACUCCUACGGGAGGCAGCAGUGGGGAAUUUUGGACAAUGGGGGCAACCCUGAUCCAGCAAUGCCGCGUGUGCGAAGAAGGCCUUCGGGUUGUAAAGCACUUUUGUCAGGGAAGAAAUCUUUCAGGCUAAUACCCUUGGAAGGAUGACGGUACCUGAAGAAUAAGCACCGGCUAACUACGUGCCAGCCGCCGCAGUAA
This 503-nucleotide ribosomal RNA is filed under the name uncultured bacterium. RNAcentral's name for it is "partial 16S ribosomal RNA". It matches the Rfam family "Bacterial small subunit ribosomal RNA", at positions 29 to 523 of the family's 1533-position model. The record is from RNAcentral.